This 2172-nucleotide ribosomal RNA is filed under the name Salmonella enterica. RNAcentral describes it as "partial 23S ribosomal RNA". It matches the Rfam family "Bacterial large subunit ribosomal RNA", at positions 1 to 2187 of the family's 2925-position model. Lineage: Bacteria; Pseudomonadati; Pseudomonadota; Gammaproteobacteria; Enterobacterales; Enterobacteriaceae. The record is from RNAcentral.
GGGUUGUGAGGUUAAGCGACUAAGCGUACACGGUGGAUGCCCUGGCAGUCAGAGGCGAUGAAGGGCGUGCUAAUCUGCGAUAAGCGCCGGUAAGGUGAUAUGAACCGUUAUAACCGGCGAUACCCGAAUGGGGAAACCCAGUGUGAUUCGUCACACUAUCAUUAACUGAAUCCAUAGGUUAAUGAGGCGAACCGGGGGAACUGAAACAUCUAAGUACCCCGAGGAAAAGAAAUCAACCGAGAUUCCCCCAGUAGCGGCGAGCGAACGGGGAGGAGCCCAGAGCCUGAAUCAGCAUGUGUGUUAGUGGAAGCGUCUGGAAAGGCGCGCGAUACAGGGUGAGAGCCCCGUACACAAAAGCGUAUGUGCUGUGAGCUCGAUGAGUAGGGCGGGACACGUGGUAUCCUGUCUGAAUAUGGGGGGACCAUCCUCCAAGGCUAAAUACUCCUGACUGACCGAUAGUGAACCAGUACCGUGAGGGAAAGGCGAAAAGAACCCCGGCGAGGGGAGUGAAAAAGAACCUGAAACCGUGUACGUACAAGCAGUGGGAGCACCCUUUGGGGUGUGACUGCGUACCUUUUGUAUAAUGGGUCAGCGACUUAUAUUCUGUAGCAAGGUUAACCGAAUAGGGGAGCCGGAGGGAAACCGAGUCUUAAUUGGGCGUUAAGUUGCAGGGUAUAGACCCGAAACCCGGUGAUCUAGCCAUGGGCAGGUUGAAGGUUGGGUAACACUAACUGGAGGACCGAACCGACUAAUGUUGAAAAAUUAGCGGAUGACCUGUGGCUGGGGGUGAAAGGCCAAUCAAACCGGGAGAUAGCUGGUUCUCCCCGAAAGCUAUUUAGGUAGCGCCUCGUGAAUUCAUCUCCGGGGGUAGAGCACUGUUUCGGCUAGGGGGUCAUCCCGACUUACCAACCCGAUGCAAACUGCGAAUACCGGAGAAUGUUAUCACGGGAGACACACGGCGGGUGCUAACGUCCGUCGUGAAGAGGGAAACAACCCAGACCGCCAGCUAAGGUCCCAAAGUCAUGGUUAAGUGGGAAACGAUGUGGGAAGGCCCAGACAGCCAGGAUGUUGGCUUAGAAGCAGCCAUCAUUUAAAGAAAGCGUAAUAGCUCACUGGUCGAGUCGGCCUGCGCGGAAGAUGUAACGGGGCUAAACCAUGCACCGAAGCUGCGGCAGCGACGCUGAUGCGUUGUUGGGUAGGGGAGCGUUCUGUAAGCCUGUGAAGGUGGCCUGUGAGGGUUGCUGGAGGUAUCAGAAGUGCGAAUGCUGACAUAAGUAACGAUAAAGCGGGUGAAAAGCCCGCUCGCCGGAAGACCAAGGGUUCCUGUCCAACGUUAAUCGGGGCAGGGUGAGUCGACCCCUAAGGCGAGGCCGAAAGGCGUAGUCGAUGGGAAACGGGUUAAUAUUCCCGUACUUGGUGUUACUGCGAAGGGGGGACGGAGAAGGCUAUGUUGGCCGGGCGACGGUUGUCCCGGUUUAAGCGUGUAGGUGUGUGUUCCAGGUAAAUCCGGUUCACUUUAACACUGAGGCGUGACGACGAGGCACUACGGUGCUGAAGCAACAAAUGCCCUGCUUCCAGGAAAAGCCUCUAAGCAUCAGGUAACAUCAAAUCGUACCCCAAACCGACACAGGUGGUCAGGUAGAGAAUACCAAGGCGCUUGAGAGAACUCGGGUGAAGGAACUAGGCAAAAUGGUGCCGUAACUUCGGGAGAAGGCACGCUGAUAUGUAGGUGAAGCGGUUUACCCGUGGAGCUGAAAUCAGUCGAAGAUACCAGCUGGCUGCAACUGUUUAUUAAAAACACAGCACUGUGCAAACACGAAAGUGGACGUAUACGGUGUGACGCCUGCCCGGUGCCGGAAGGUUAAUUGAUGGGGUCAGCGCAAGCGAAGCUCCUGAUCGAAGCCCCGGUAAACGGCGGCCGUAACUAUAACGGUCCUAAGGUAGCGAAAUUCCUUGUCGGGUAAGUUCCGACCUGCACGAAUGGCGUAAUGAUGGCCAGGCUGUCUCCACCCGAGACUCAGUGAAAUUGAACUCGCUGUGAAGAUGCAGUGUACCCGCGGCAAGACGGAAAGACCCCGUGAACCUUUACUAUAGCUUGACACUGAACAUUGAGCCUUGAUGUGUAGGAUAGGUGGGAGGCUUUGAAGCGUGGACGCCAGUCUGCGUGGAGCC